GACGAACGCUGGCGGCGUGCCUAAUACAUGCAAGUAGAACGCUGAAGCGAGGAGCUUGCUCUUCUUGGAUGAGUUGCGAACGGGUGAGUAACGCGUAGGUAACCUGCCUUGUAGCGGGGGAUAACUAUUGGAAACGAUAGCUAAUACCGCAUAACAAUGGAUGACACAUGUCAUUUAUUUGAAAGGGGCAAUUGCUCCACUACAAGAUGGACCUGCGUUGUAUUAGCUAGUAGGUGAGGUAAUGGCUCACCUAGGCGACGAUACAUAGCCGACCUGAGAGGGUGAUCGGCCACACUGGGACUGAGACACGGCCCAGACUCCUACGGGAGGCAGCAGUAGGGAAUCUUCGGCAAUGGGGGCAACCCUGACCGAGCAACGCCGCGUGAGUGAAGAAGGUUGUCGGAUCGGAAAGCUCUGUUGUAAGUCAAGAACGGGUGUGAGAGUGGAAAGUUCACACUGUGACGGUAGCUUACCAGAAAGAGACGGCUAACUACGUG
RNAcentral lists this ribosomal RNA (497 nucleotides) under uncultured bacterium. RNAcentral's name for it is "partial 16S ribosomal RNA". It matches the Rfam family "Bacterial small subunit ribosomal RNA", at positions 28 to 507 of the family's 1533-position model. The record is from RNAcentral.